UAUGACCGAUUUAAUAUAUGGCU
RNAcentral lists this microRNA (23 nucleotides) under Aedes aegypti (yellow fever mosquito). RNAcentral describes it as "aae-miR-11899". The record is from miRBase by way of RNAcentral. Lineage: Eukaryota; Metazoa; Arthropoda; Insecta; Diptera; Culicidae.